GACGAACGCUGGCGGCGUGCUUAACACAUGCAAGUCGAACGGAAAGGCCCUGCUUUUGUGGGGUGCUCGAGUGGCGAACGGGUGAGUAACACGUGAGUAACCUGCCCUUGACUUUGGGAUAACUUCAGGAAACUGGGGCUAAUACCGGAUAGGAGCUCCUGCUGCAUGGUGGGGGUUGGAAAGUUUCGGCGGUUGGGGAUGGACUCGCGGCUUAUCAGCUUGUUGGUGGGGUAGUGGCUUUCAAGGCUUUGACGGGUAGCCGGCCUGAGAGGGUGACCGGCCACAUUGGGACUGAGAUACGGCCCAGACUCCUACGGGAGGCAGCAGUGGGGAAUAUUGCACAAUGGGCGGAAGCCUGAUGCAGCAACGCCGCGUGCGGGAUGACGGCCUUCGGGUUGUAAACCGCUUUCGCCUGUGACGAAGCGUGAGUGACGGUAAUGGGUAAAGAAGCACCGGCUAACUACGUG
This 467-nucleotide ribosomal RNA is filed under the name uncultured bacterium. Its description in RNAcentral is "partial 16S ribosomal RNA". It matches the Rfam family "Bacterial small subunit ribosomal RNA", at positions 28 to 507 of the family's 1533-position model. The record is from RNAcentral.